This 407-nucleotide ribosomal RNA is filed under the name bacterium enrichment culture clone ALO1_GLFRUDD03F64GL. Its description in RNAcentral is "bacterial SSU rRNA". It matches the Rfam family "Bacterial small subunit ribosomal RNA", at positions 9 to 416 of the family's 1533-position model. The record is from RNAcentral.
GAGUUUGAUCCUGGCUCAGAUUGAACGCUGGCGGCAUGCCUUACACAUGCAAGUCGAACGGCAGCACGGGAGCUUGCUCCUGGUGGCGAGUGGCGAACGGGUGAGUAAUGCAUCGGAACGUAUCCUGGAGUGGGGGAUAACGUAGCGAAAGUUACGCUAAUACCGCAUAUUCUGUGAGCAGGAAAGCGGGGGACCUUCGGGCCUCGCGCUCUUGGAGCGGCCGAUGUCGGAUUAGCUAGUUGGUGAGGUAAAGGCUCACCAAGGCGACGAUCCGUAGCAGGUCUGAGAGGAUGAUCUGCCACACUGGAACUGAGACACGGCCCAGACUCCUACGGGAGGCAGCAGUGGGGAAUUUUGGACAAUGGGGGCAACCCUGAUCCAGCCAUGCCGCGUGAGUGAAGAAGGCC